UACUCCUUAGCGUCGCUAUAAGACUCCCUUUCCAGAAGAAACCGCUGCGUACAGCUCGCCGUGGAACGGCAGGGUUGUCCACUUACUUGCCGCAGCAGUUCACAACCUUUGUGUAUGCAUACGACAAGGUCCGUCCCGUCGGUUUAUAUCGCCUCAGUUCCAAUCUCGAGUCUGAGCUGCUGCUGCGCUCGAAAGCCGGCCCGUAACGCACGCGUUGCGUCACUGCAGUACGCAAGCGGGGAAAGCGAAGUCACGCCACUUCGGGCCGCGCGAAUUUGUGCGUGUCCGCGCGGAUGCGUGCGGCUUGCAGCUGGUGGCGGCUCAUUGUGAUUCAAUCCGCAUUGAGUUGAAGGAGAGAGACGGACGGGCGGACGGACGAAACGGGACCCAGUCUCUCUCGCGCCUGCUGCAGCUGUGCGUAUUCGCGAAAGCUGUUCGACGAUGCGAAUUUCUUGCUUUUAGUUGAAGAACGUCGCUUAUAUUUUGUUGCGUGCAUGGACACAUAUGCCGUUGGGGGGCUUCGUUUCUUUUUUAUUCACUCUUUCCAUUAUGAGCUCCCCUUUAGCUCCUUGUUUUUAUUCUGUUCGAGAAGUGUUCGGAUACAUUUGCAGAACGCGAUGGACUGGUUUGCCAGUGGAGAGCCCCGAAUCAGGCCCUUGACACCGAUAUUUCGGAGCAAGAGGUCCGCAUGGCCCUCCAAAACAUCCGCAGAAGCUCUACACCGGGAAAAGACAGAAUAACAAACUCUAUGCUCCGUAACCUGGGUGAUCAAUCUAUCACACAGCUUACAGAAUAUAUUAAUCAAUUCUGGAGAGAGGGCACCCUGCCACAGUCCUGGUGUCAUGCCAAAAUUAUCUUCAUCGCGAAACAGAACAAACCCCACACCAUACACCCCCACUUGUGCUGAAUGCACUCAUCCCGAUGCUACGCUUACCCACAUUUUCCUUGGAUGCCCGGCGGACCUUCCCCCGCGGGGCCCGGAGCUCCUGACUACCUGGGAGGAAUGGGAGACCCUGCUGCGCUCGACGGACCCUGCGAGGCAGAAGAUCGCCACUGACCGGGCCGCCCAUGUCAUGGAACUCCAUGAACUCACGAACGUGUAGUGCAGUGAGGUUGUGCGGGGACCCUGGGACCUACGUGCCCGAACCCCUUGGUCAAAUAGAGUUCUUUCUCUCUCUC
This is a long non-coding RNA of Dermacentor andersoni, 1179 nucleotides long. RefSeq lists it as uncharacterized. NCBI's taxonomy places the organism in Eukaryota, Metazoa, Arthropoda, Arachnida, Ixodida, Ixodidae. The record is from RefSeq and is a predicted model, not a curated record.